Molecule: transfer RNA, 77 nt
Filed under: Methanobrevibacter ruminantium M1
Lineage: Archaea; Methanobacteriati; Methanobacteriota; Methanobacteria; Methanobacteriales; Methanobacteriaceae
Description: tRNA-Lys-TTT-3-1
Rfam family: tRNA
About the family: Transfer RNA (tRNA) molecules are approximately 80 nucleotides in length. Their secondary structure includes four short double-helical elements and three loops (D, anti-codon, and T loops).
Source: RNAcentral
GGUACGGUAGCCUAGCCUGGUAUAGCACUCGGUGACUUUUAAACUCUAUGUCGAAGGUUCAAAUCCUUCCCGUACCG